ACGCUGGCGGCAUGCCUUACACAUGCAAGUCGAACGGCAGCACGGAGCUUGCUCUGGUGGCGAGUGGCGAACGGGUGAGUAAUAUAUCGGAACGUACCCUAGAGUGGGGGAUAACGUAGCGAAAGUUACGCUAAUACCGCAUACGAUCUAAGGAUGAAAGUGGGGGAUCGCAAGACCUCAUGCUCGUGGAGCGGCCGAUAUCUGAUUAGCUAGUUGGUAGGGUAAAAG
RNAcentral lists this ribosomal RNA (228 nucleotides) under Klebsiella pneumoniae. RNAcentral describes it as "partial 16S ribosomal RNA". It matches the Rfam family "Bacterial small subunit ribosomal RNA", at positions 33 to 263 of the family's 1533-position model. The record is from RNAcentral. Lineage: Bacteria; Pseudomonadati; Pseudomonadota; Gammaproteobacteria; Enterobacterales; Enterobacteriaceae.